This 2827-nucleotide long non-coding RNA is filed under the name Lynx pardinus (Iberian lynx). Lineage: Eukaryota; Metazoa; Chordata; Mammalia; Carnivora; Felidae. The record is from RNAcentral.
GCCGGGAGUGCCCUUCCUUCCCUCUUCACCACACCCUGCUGCUGCUUCCGAAUGAGCCUAUAAACGAACGGGCGGGUUCCAGGGCCGGCACCAUCGGGAGAGCACAGGAUGAGCCCGAUGCGUCCUGUGUCGCCAGAAGGGAAGGAGGCGCUCACCGACCGAUAUGGGGUGUGCAAGGGCUCAGGAGCCAGCCCGGAGGAGCUCCCGGCCCCCCAGGCUGGAGCAAUAAUGAGCGCAGAGGUAGUGCUGUUGGACGAUAACUGUUUUCGUAGCUGAACACCCACGAGUCCAUAGCGCUAUAAAGAAACAGCAGCCAAGUCGGUGAGGGAGAAGGGACGGCCCUUUCCUGUAGAAAUAUCACAAGAGAUGUAGUAGGGGUGAGGGAAGCCGGGGAGCGACUCGAGGCAGACGCCACCAUGGUGCCUCCGCCGUGGCGGUCACCGCGAGAUUGGACGGUGCUAAGAUCAGCGAGCGGAAGCUGAACUGCUUCACAUCUCUCCCCCAAGACGUUUGCCGAUUAACGGGAACAAAUAGUGACUUCACAGUGGAGAAACUCGGUCGACGCCCCGCAGCCAGGUGAUGAAGCCACGGCAUAGUCCCCGAUGUAGCGACGCGUUGAGAAAGGCCCGACAUCACUUCUGUGGUUUUCUCGCCAGGAUCCUGGGAGCAGGUCAGAGAAAUACAGCAGGACAUUGUUCAGCGGAACAGAGUGCUCUCCCAAAGGGCCACGCUCCCGGCAGAUGAGGCAGUCCUCAGGAGCUGUCCCAGAUUGGAGGUGUGUGAGGAGCAUGACAGCCAAACGCGACGUGGGGCUCUGGACUGGCCCAGACCGGGAAGAGUGCGUUAGUGGAAAACAUGAAAUCUGAAUCAAGUCCAGAGUCAGUUGACGGCGUGCGCCACGGACUGAAUAUUCACGUUUUCCCCAAACUUGGCCUUUGAAACCUAAUCCCCAGUGUGAUGGUGUCUGGAGGCGGGACCUGCGGGAGGUGCUGAGGUCCUAAGAAAUGGAGCCCUCCUGAAUGUGACCCGCGCCCUCAUAGAAGAGCCUAGAGAACCAGCGUGUCCCUUCUGCCACGCGAGGACGCCGAGAGAAGACAGCUGUCUGUGAACCAAGAGGCGGGCUUCCGCCAGGCACCAACCUGCCGAAGCCUUGGCUUUGGACUCCAGCCUCCAGGACCGUGGGAAGCACACGCUUGUCGUUCUGGCUCCCCGGCCUGUGUUAUUUUGUUCCGGCGGCCCCACCAGACCGAGACAGUAUUGCACCAGAAUUAGCUACCUGGCUUUGAUAUUUAUGCCAUAGAUCUGUAAGGCGUUAACGGCGGGAAAAGCUGGGCAAAGCAUUUGCGAAUUGUCUGCGCUUUGUUUUGCUUUCUUUUGUUUGCCAGAUUCAGGUGGGCCAGGGUGAAUUCAUCCUUCUCCUGGGCUGGGGGAGCAAGGGGAGUCCACGUCCGGGCUGCCCUCGUGUCCCGGAAUGGGGCGAGCUGAUGGGAAGCUCGGGUGGAUGCCCCUCAUGGGCUCUCGGGUGCCCAACCUGCCUUUCCCGGCUUGGCGAGUACGGAUGUGUCCGGCAGGGACAGGCUCGGCAGACUGGAGAGCGGCGAGGAGCCCGGGUUGGGGGGCUUACGGAUGAGCAGGAGGAAGGUGGCAGGAGGCGAGCUUGGACAGAUGGCCAGCGUGUCAUGGGGGCCACAUCAGGUGAGGUUAGAGAAGGAAUCCUCACCCACCCCUUCGUAUCUCCCACCUCCAUUUAGUACGGUUUGAGUAUCCUUUUGGGUUUUUCUCAAUUACCUGUGUAGCAUUAUGUCCUAUUUCCUACUUAAAGCUCUGUAUCUGGUCCAGCAGCUUGGAUGGUUUCUGCGUCCUCUCCCACCCCAGAAGAGAGGGAUCCCACCCUCCCCUCGGCCUCCCAUGCCUCCACCGCCUCCUGGCUCACAUCACCUAUGCAUUUGCCUGGACAUUGUCCAGGUUGCUGCUUAUCAUUAGACGAGAUUGUGUUGCUUGUAGGCUGAUGCCAAAGUCUAGAAGUCAAUCAGCAAUAUUUUCCCUUUAUGGCUGCUAUAUGAGUUUUAUUUGUUGAACAACCUUUUGAACGAGCAUUUUCUCUCUUAAUGCCCGAUGGCCUUAAGGCAAAUGAUUACAUUCCAUGAAUAGCCCAAGAUGUUGCCAUAGUUUUCUUUGGGCCAUAUUUGCACAGCUCAUGGUUACAGCUUUUCAUUUUAUUUAUUGAGUUUCUGAUUGCCUUUAUUUUUUCUCAUUUUCUAAAGAGCGUGCCUUCAUCGUAUCGUCACGUUGACACAGCCUCUCAUGGUAGAUCUUGCCCCAGAUGCCCGCCUUUUCCCCUGGAGUGGUCAGUCCCAGAGCUCUCCAGCCUCUUUGCUGUCCAGGCCUGCUGCCCGGCCGUCACCGUGGACAUCACCCCACGAGCCUCCGGACUGGCCCGCUGCUCAGCUGGUCCCAUGCUUCCCCUGUUCUCGGUGUCCUUGGUUCUCUGACAUACGUUACAAGCAGGUCCUCAGAAAGGGGAGUCUUUGCGCUCUAAGAAGGCCUUUAAUUUGCCGUCCUAGCGGAUGUAGACUUGUAGAUCCCAAGUCUCCCCUCAGAUUGUGAAGGCGCAGCUCUGUUAGUGUCUUGCUGUUGACAGUUUGAUGACGCUCCCUUUGUAAGAGUCAUGAGUUCAAUUUCUGGAUGCUUUUAACAUCCUUCUUUAUCCCUAAUGUUCUGUCUCAGUCGGUUGGGCAUCCGACUUGGGCUCAGGUCAUGAUCUCACGGUUCGUGGGUUCAGGCCCCGCGUCGGGCUCUGUGCUGACAGCUCGGGGCCUGGAGCCCG